Molecule: long non-coding RNA, 1547 nt
Organism: Pieris rapae (cabbage white)
Lineage: Eukaryota; Metazoa; Arthropoda; Insecta; Lepidoptera; Pieridae
Exons: 3
Source: RefSeq, a predicted model, not a curated record
UUUAAAAGUACAUUUUAAUUUCGUUCGCUAGUAAAUUCGUUUGUUUGUAUACUUGUGGCUUGUUAACUCGUAAAGCAAAGUUUGAUGACCUUUCGUGGCUGCUAAAUUUACAAAUGCACUCGAAAUGUAACCAAUCUAAAUGUUGCUUGCUUUAACUCAAAAGUUGAAUAUGUCGGAUUUUAAAUAAAGAACGUUCCUGGGUUUUGCUUUACCAGAUUAUAGAAGAUUUUAAUUUAUCAUACGUCUUACUAGAUAUAAAAUCCUGAGACGACAGAAAAGAUGAAAGACGGACGACGGAAUGUUAUAUUUUAGCCUUCGGUCAAGAAAGUUAUUUCAACAUGAAUAACAUUGUAAUAUAUCUGAUUACUCUAUUAUUAGUAGAAAUAAAAUACUUUACUUGUGGCCCCAUUACGGAGACUUAUUUGUAUAAUUCGGAUAAUGUAAUCGUAAAAAUUGUUGAUGAACAAAACCUGACAUCGGCGCAAAAUGGCGAUAUUACACCACUUAUCAAUUCUGACUUUGGAAAUACAAGUGAAGGUAUUAUAAAACAAGAGAACGGGGUAACAAUUGAGAACAGCUUUCAGAAUUCCUUCUUUCCGAUGCUAAAUAAUGAAACUGUACAAAAUGUUAUCGUGGGUUCUGAUUUUUUACAAACCGACAAUCCUUUACCGGAAACUUCCAUAGGAAUAAAUAGUUCCAUAAAAUAUGAAGAUGGAGUACCUCGAGCCAGUUUUCAAGUUGGUUGUAUUCAGGGUUACGCAAAAGCAGCUGAUGGUUCGUGUCAAGAGGUUUUAUAUGACUAAAUGUAUAUCACUUUUAACCCAGACAUACUUAAACGAUAACAAAUAUGAAAUAAUUAACAAGAUUAUCAGUAUAAGUUUACACGCGAAGAAAGGAAGUAAUGUUUAGAAUGAGGACAGUGAUUUUAAUAUUGUUAUUUGUAGCAAUUUUGCGAGUAGAAAGUGGAUUUUUAGAAGAUGUUCUAUUAAAACCAAUCAAUAAAUUCUAUAAUAUGACAGAGAAGAUUCAUAAAGCCAAAUUGGAUGCAAUAUCAAGACUUGAUGAAAAGUUAGGAAGAGCCACAAGUCAUAUUACAAAUUUGUUUGACGGGCACUCAAAGACGUUCAAAGACAAAAAGGAAGAACUAGGCAGUGAUGUAAAUCAUUCCGAGAAAAUUGUGAAUGAGGAUCCAGUUGCGUCUUUGGAUGUGAAUUGCGCAGAAGGUUCACCUGGAGCACUGAAUGGAUCCUGUCUACCAGAUGUUUAUGUGCGGUUUAAUGAUGACAUUGGAGAUAAUGAAUAAUUUUAAUAUGUUUUGCAUGUUAACCAUAAAACUUAAGUACAGUGUUUAACCUUAUCAGCUUAUCUACCAAAUAAAUUUCGCGUGCAUAUUAAGUCUUUUAAAAAUGUGAAAAAUAAGAUUUAAAAAAGCUUAUGUGAGGUACGACAUUUCUUGUACCGAGCUCUGUACCUAGUUCUUUAUUAAAAAAAAAUGUUUGGGUACAGUUGUGUCUUAUCUGUUAAAUUACUAUACUAUUUAUCGUUCA